GAUGAACGCUGGCGGCGUGCUUAACACAUGCAAGUCGAACGGAAAGGCCCAAGCUUGCUUGGGUACUCGAGUGGCGAACGGGUGAGUAACACGUGGGUGAUCUGCCCUGCACUUCGGGAUAAGCCUGGGAAACUGGGUCUCAUACCGGAUAGGACCACAUUUUGGAUGGUGUGGUGGAAAGUUUUUCGGUGUGGGAUGAGCUCGCGGCCUAUCAGCUUGUUGGUGGGGUAAUGGCCUACCAAGGCGUCGACGGGUAGCCGGCCUGAGAGGGUGUACGGCCACAUUGGGACUGAGAUACGGAGCAGACUCGAACGGGAGGCAGCAGUCGGGAGUAUUGCGUAGUGGGGGCAAGCGUGAUGCAGCGGCGCCGGGUGGGGGAUGACGGGCUUCGGGUUGUAAACUGCUGUCGCUAGGGACGAAGCGCAAGUGACGGUACCUGGAGAAGAAGCACCGGCUAACUACGUG
RNAcentral lists this ribosomal RNA (465 nucleotides) under uncultured bacterium. RNAcentral's name for it is "partial 16S ribosomal RNA". It matches the Rfam family "Bacterial small subunit ribosomal RNA", at positions 28 to 507 of the family's 1533-position model. The record is from RNAcentral.